GCAGAGACUCAAUCUGGAGAUGUUUCUGCCUAUAUUUCUACUAAUGUAAUCUCCAUUACAGAUGGACAAAUAUUCUUAUCUGCGGAUCUAUCCAAUGACGGAAUUCGACCCGCUAUUAAUGUGGGUAUUUCUGUUUCCAGAGUAGGAUCCGCGGCUCAAAUUAAAGCCAUGAAACAAGUAGCUGGCAAAUCAAAAUUGGAACUAGCUCAAUUCGCAGAGUUACAAGCCUUUGCACAAUUCGCCUCUGCUCUCGAUAAAACAAGUUAGAAUCAAUUGGCAACGGGUCGACGAUUAAGGGAAUUGCUUAAAUAAUCCCAGGCAAAUCCUCUCCCAGUGGAAGAGCAGAUAGCUACUAUUUAUACCGGAACAAGAGAAUAUCUUGAUUCGUUAGAAAUUGAACAGGUAAAGAAAUAG
This 414-nucleotide ribosomal RNA is filed under the name Triticum aestivum (bread wheat). RNAcentral describes it as "partial small subunit ribosomal RNA". Lineage: Eukaryota; Viridiplantae; Streptophyta; Magnoliopsida; Poales; Poaceae. The record is from RNAcentral.